CUGCAGGUGACAGCCUGGGCGAGGGAACAGAGACAGCUCUGCACACACGCUGAUGGGAUUGCAAUACACGAUGUGACAGCUGCAAACACCUUCAAAAUAAAGGCAAAGUUCCAGCUCAGUGUGAUGUUCAGACUCCAGCUCCAGCAUUAAGUUUUUCCAGAGUGGUGGGAUGGAAGAGUGUAACGAGAUCUGGGAGCAGAGAAUCUGCAAAGCUUCCUGCUGAAGAAAGUACAAGUUCUCUGGCUGCAUUUCGUGCCUGCUGUCAACCCCCUGUGUUUGCUCUGCUGUCAGACCACAUGAAGAUUAAAUAUGGAGUUCUGGCUCUACAACUGCACUGACCACUGUGAAUGGUUUCAUGAUCAUUAAUGGACAGCAUCAUUCUCUCCCUGGGCCAUGAAAACAGGAAAAGACUAACAACUGUGCUGCAGGACAGGGCAAAUUCUCCUUGUGCAGUGGUUUGAUCUCUGUAACACAGCUGCCAUCAUGCUUAAAAUGGGAGAAAAGUUAACCAGAAACAGAAAUCAGGGAGAGAAAGGUGAAGAAGAAAAUGUAGGGAGCACA
Molecule: long non-coding RNA, 561 nt
Organism: Oenanthe melanoleuca
Lineage: Eukaryota; Metazoa; Chordata; Aves; Passeriformes; Muscicapidae
Exons: 4
Source: RefSeq, a predicted model, not a curated record